RNAcentral lists this ribosomal RNA (159 nucleotides) under Wiesneriomyces conjunctosporus. Its description in RNAcentral is "partial large subunit ribosomal RNA". It matches the Rfam family "Eukaryotic large subunit ribosomal RNA", at positions 99 to 261 of the family's 3401-position model. The record is from RNAcentral. Lineage: Eukaryota; Fungi; Ascomycota; Dothideomycetes; Tubeufiales; Wiesneriomycetaceae.
CGGCAAUAGCUCAAAUUUGAAAUCUGGCUUCGGUCCGAGUUGUAAUUUGUAGAGGAUGCUUCGGCUUCGGCUUGGGUCUAAGUUCCUUGGAACAGGACGUCACAGAGGGUGAGAAUCCCGUACGUGGCCCUUGCCCCCGCCAUGUGAAGCUCCUUCGAC